AAGAGUUGCUUCUCCUUUAUUUAUUUAUUUUGCAUCUCUCAUUUAAGAGGGAGGGAAGGGUAUAUGAUUUUUUCCCCACUACUCCCGGAUAAAAAAAAAGAUUUUUCUUCUAGGGUUUCAUAUUCGUAUUUCUCCUCUAGUAUUCCAUAUUUAUAUUUUUACAGGGUUCCAUAUUCGUCCUUUUGAACUUUAAAGUUCAAUUGAAAUUGGAAUGGCAAAAUUGGAGAUCCCCUCUGUCGUGACUGGAUAUAUAAUUGUUUUCAAUUUUUUUAAAGCCACAUGAUCUCGAUGCAUUAAACAUAUGGUCACUUAGAAACAGAAGUUAUAUCACCAUGUAGCUAAUGUUCUGCAUUAUUUGUUUCCCAUGGGUGUCUGCCACAUUUCAUUUCCUCUUUUACGUUGAGUGAACUCUCGGCAAGUUUGCAGAUAGUCAAUUUCUAUGUUGUUAAUAUGAAACGUUUCUACCUGAUGCAGGGUUCGCCUUGCAAGUGGUUUGAGAAUAGCGCACCAACAGUUGGGUAACAUCCAAUUGGUUUCUCAGUAUUUAACAAUAUUAGGUACAUUAGCACUUCAGUUACAUGAUACUGGACAAGCCAGGGAGAUCUUGAAGUCAUCGUUGACGUUAGCUAAGACACUAUAUGACAUCCCAACACAAAUCUGGAUCUUGUCGGUAUUUACAGAGUUAUAUCGAGAGCUGGAAGAGAAGGAAAAUGAAAUGGAGAAUUCAGAAUAUGGAAGCAAGAAAGAAAUCGAUCUGCAGAGAAGACUGGCUGAAGCUCGUUCUCGCGCUUAUCACCAGGAGCUGGUGGAGAAAGUGAGGAUCGAAGCUGAGCCGCUGCACAACUUGUUCCAGAAGCAUAACGAUAUGUCGGGCCUGCCGGUAAAUGAUGACCUUGACAUCCCAGAAUCAGUGGGGCUGUCCACUCCCCAGCCCUCGUCCGUGAGAAGGCUGGUCGAUUCAAGCUCGGUAAGGCGCAGCACAAGGAGGCGGGUGUCCUGAGUCAUGCUGGCUGUCCAUCGGAGUGAAUCGCCAUGCUCCCCAUAGAGAGAGCAUGCUGGACAUGUUAGCCUAUAGGUCCCUCAGUUGUUGUUAUUAAGUUUAUUAUUAGUCAAUUGUACACCGCUGUAGCUUCAUCUUCUGUUAACAAUUACUAGCAAAAGAGAUCAUGCGUUGCACCAGGAGAGAAAUUCCACAGGCCCCUAACUCAAUAACCAUGACUCAAACCCCCAUAGGUAGGUUCAGGUUCUUUAUUUCAACACAUGGUUCUCAUCUGUGUUGACAAUCACAACGUGUUUGAAUGUGAUCAAUCUUAAAGCGUC
Triticum aestivum (bread wheat) is the source of this 1320-nucleotide long non-coding RNA. RefSeq lists it as uncharacterized. The transcript is spliced from 3 exons. The record is from RefSeq and is a predicted model, not a curated record. NCBI's taxonomy places the organism in Eukaryota, Viridiplantae, Streptophyta, Magnoliopsida, Poales, Poaceae.